Molecule: ribosomal RNA, 301 nt
Filed under: uncultured bacterium
Lineage: Bacteria
Description: partial 16S ribosomal RNA
Rfam family: Bacterial small subunit ribosomal RNA
Source: RNAcentral
CAGUCGCCGCGGUAAUACGUAGGGUGCAAGCGUUAAUCGGAAUUACUGGGCGUAAAGCGUGCGCAGGCGGUUUUGUAAGACAGAGGUGAAAUCCCCGGGCUCAACCUGGGAACUGCCUUUGUGACUGCAAGGCUAGAGUACGGCAGAGGGGGAUGGAAUUCCGCGUGUAGCAGUGAAAUGCGUAGAUAUGCGGAGGAACACCGAUGGCGAAGGCAAUCCCCUGGGCCUGUACUGACGCUCAUGCACGAAAGCGUGGGGAGCAAACAGGAUUAGAUCCCCUGUAGUCCCUGUCUCUUAUACA